CCCUUAGAUGUUCUGGGCUGCACGCGCGCUACACUGAAGCUAUCAACACGUUUUCCCUCCCUGAGAAGGGCGGGUAACCUUUUGAAUCAGCUUCGUGGUAGGGAUAGGGGCUUGCAAUUGUUCCCCGUGAACCAGGAAUUCCUAGUAGACGCGAGUCAUAAGCUCGCAUCGAUUAAGUCCCUGCCCUUUGUACACACCGCCCGUCGCUACUACCGAUUGAACGUUUUAGUGAGGCAUUUGGACCGACGCAUCUCAGUUUAACCGCUGGUUUGUGUUGGAAAGACUUCCAAACUUGAGCGUUUAGAGGAAGUAAAAGUCGUAACA
Molecule: ribosomal RNA, 324 nt
Filed under: uncultured eukaryote
Lineage: Eukaryota
Description: partial 18S ribosomal RNA
Rfam family: Eukaryotic small subunit ribosomal RNA
Source: RNAcentral